This 348-nucleotide unclassified non-coding RNA is filed under the name soil metagenome. RNAcentral describes it as "partial contains 5.8S ribosomal RNA, internal transcribed spacer 2, and large subunit ribosomal RNA". The stretch from base 1 to 120 matches the Rfam family "5.8S ribosomal RNA", at positions 35 to 154 of the family's 154-position model. The record is from RNAcentral.
GAUGAAGAACGCAGCGAAAUGCGAUAAGUAAUGUGAAUUGCAGAAUUCAGUGAAUCAUCGAGUCUUUGAACGCACAUUGCGCCCCCUGGUAUUCCGGGGGGCAUGCCUGUCCGAGCGUCAUUGCCGCCCUCAAGCACGGCUUGUGUGUUGGGCCCCCGCCCCCCGGCUUCGGGGGGCGGGCCCGAAAGGCAGCGGCGGCACCGCGUCCGGUCCUCGAGCGUAUGGGGCUUCGUCACCCGCUCUGUAGGCCCGGCCGGCGCCCGCCGGCGACCCCAAUCGAUCUUUCCAGGUUGACCUCGGAUCAGGUAGGGAUACCCGCUGAACUUAAGCAUAUCAAUAAGCGGAGGA